AAUGUAUUAUAUUGAAUUAAUGUACCUAAAUGUCAAUACCGAAAUGUAUGUACCUAAAUGUCAAUACCAAAAAUGUAUGUACCUAAAUAUCAAUACCGAAAAUGUAUGUACCUAAAUAUCAAUACCAAAAUGUAUGUACCUAAAUGUAUUUACCGAAAUAUAAUAAUUGAAUUAAUGUACCUAAAAGUCGAUACUCAAAUGUGUGUACCAAAGUGUACGUAACGAAAUACAUUAUAUUAACCGAAAUGCAUUAUAUUGAAUCAAUGUAACUACAUAUUUGUACCGAUGGAUAUACCAAAAUAUUCAAAUGUAUUAAUGUACCUAAAUAAAGAACAUACAA
Molecule: long non-coding RNA, 340 nt
Filed under: Malus domestica (apple)
Lineage: Eukaryota; Viridiplantae; Streptophyta; Magnoliopsida; Rosales; Rosaceae
Description: long non-coding RNA (MDOM_LNC005001)
Source: RNAcentral